GACGAACGCUGGCGGCGUGCCUAAUACAUGCAAGUAGAACGCACAGUCUAUACGGUCGCUCGCUUCACCAUAAACUGUGACUUGCGAAUGGGUGAUUAAUGCGUAGGUAAUUUGCCUGGUAGCGGGGGAUAACUAUAGGAAACGUAAGCCAAUACCGCAUAAUAUUGAUUAUUCCAUGAUAAUUGAUUGAAUGCUGCUAUUGCAGCACUACUAUAUGGACCUGCGUUGGAUUAGCUAGUAGGUGAGGUAACGGCUCACCUAUGCGAAGAUACAUAGCCGAGCUGGGAAGGUGGUCGGCCACCCUGGGACUGGGACACGGCCCAGACCCCUACGGGAGGCAGCAGUAGGGAAUCUUCGGAAAUGGGCGGAAAUCUGACCGAGGAAAGCCGCGUGAGUGAAGAAGGUUUUCGGAUCGUAAAGCUCUGUUGUAAGAGAAGAAAGGGUGUGAGAGUGGAAAGUUCACGCUGUGACGGUACCUUAACAGAAAGGGACGGCUAACUACGUG
Molecule: ribosomal RNA, 505 nt
Filed under: uncultured bacterium
Lineage: Bacteria
Description: partial 16S ribosomal RNA
Rfam family: Bacterial small subunit ribosomal RNA
Source: RNAcentral